AUAUUACCUGGCAGGGAGAUACCAUGUCACGGAAAUGAUUUUCCCAGGACAAGGCUUUUCUAUUACACUUCGAAUGUGCUGACCCUUGUGAUUUCCCAAAAUAUGUGAAAUUCAACUGCAUAAUUUGUGGUAGUGGGGAGAAAGUAGUGAGACUGCGUUCACGCUCUUCCUUG
This 173-nucleotide small nuclear RNA is filed under the name Sorex araneus (European shrew). RNAcentral's name for it is "U1 spliceosomal RNA (ENSSARG00000016446.1)". It matches the Rfam family "U1 spliceosomal RNA". From Rfam's summary of the family: U1 is a small nuclear RNA (snRNA) component of the spliceosome (involved in pre-mRNA splicing). Its 5' end forms complementary base pairs with the 5' splice junction, thus defining the 5' donor site of an intron. There are significant differences in sequence and secondary structure between metazoan and yeast U1 snRNAs, the latter being much longer (568 nucleotides as compared to 164 nucleotides in human). The record is from RNAcentral. Lineage: Eukaryota; Metazoa; Chordata; Mammalia; Eulipotyphla; Soricidae.